GUUGGCGGCCAUAGCUGGGAGCUAGGACCCGUACCCAUUCCGAAAGAACGAGGAACGCUCGUACCGGAAGCACGGAAGUGAAUCUCCCAGGCGAUCUCUGUGGUAGUGUGGUGAGAGAUCCCACGCGAAGCUUAGACCGCUGCCAACC
Molecule: ribosomal RNA, 148 nt
Filed under: Candidatus Bathyarchaeota archaeon
Lineage: Archaea; Thermoproteati; Candidatus Bathyarchaeota
Source: RNAcentral